RNAcentral lists this ribosomal RNA (1899 nucleotides) under Rhipicephalus microplus (southern cattle tick). RNAcentral describes it as "eukaryotic LSU rRNA". It matches the Rfam family "Eukaryotic large subunit ribosomal RNA", at positions 1167 to 2314 of the family's 3401-position model. Lineage: Eukaryota; Metazoa; Arthropoda; Arachnida; Ixodida; Ixodidae. The record is from RNAcentral.
ACCAAACGCCGGGGUAAGGCGCCCGAGUCGGGACGCUCAUGAGAACCCGUGAAGGGUGUUGGUUGCUUAAGACAGCAGGACGGUGGCCAUGGAAGUCGGAAUCCGCGAAGGAGUGUGGUAACAAUCCUGCCCGAAGCAACUACCCGAAAAUGGAGGCGCUCUAGCGUCGGGCUAUCGGAAGAUAAACAAUGCAUGACAGCACGAAAUAGUGGCAGUGGAUAAAGACGCCGACGAGUAGAGGCCCAGCGGAUGUUGCGUUUUGAAUGUGUCCGGAGCGUGAGCCCGCCUGGAGCCGCCGCUGGUGCAGAUAUUGGUGGUAGUAGCAAAUACUCAAGUGAGAUCCCUUGAGAAUGAAAGUGAAGGGUUCCAGUGACAGCUUGAAAUGGGUCAGUCGGUCCUUAGGGAAAGGAGAAAUCCUUUCAGAAGCGGGCGCGUUUGUGCAGCUCAGUCUGUGAUACGGAGACGCCCCGCUGCAACCAAAAGGGAAUCGGGUUAACAGUCCCGAACCCGGCUACGGAGAUCGGCUCUUCGGAGCCCAGUGCGGCAACGCAAACCAGCUCGGAGACGCCGAUGGGAGCCCCGGGAAGAGUUUUCUUUUCUCUGUAAGGAGAUCGAGUCCCUGGAAUGGGUUCACCCCGAGAUAGGGAGGUGGCGUAGCGGCUUGCGCUGUCCGGUGCGCUCCUGUCGGCCCUUGAAAAUCCGAGUGAGGGAGUGUGAUUUUCGUGCCGGACCGUACCCACAUCCGCAGCAGGUCUCCAAGGUGAACAGCCUCUAGUCGAUAGACCAAUGUAGGUAAGGGAAGUCGGCAAAACGGAUCCGUAACCUUGGGAAAAGGAUUGGCUCUGAGGGCUGAGCCGGUCGGGCUGGGGUCCAGAAGCAGGAACGGCACUGCACCGGGACUGGGCGAGGCUCGCCGCCGUAAAAAGCGGUGCGGCCGAGCCCGGACCAGCGUAGGGACCUUCCUGUGGAAAGCCACAGCUGUGCAUUUUCCGUGGGCUUCGCGCCUGAGGUUCUUGCUUCGGCCGGCAGAAAACAGCCAACUCAGAACUGGCACGGACCGGGGGAAUCCGACUGUCUAAUUAAAACAAAGCAUUGCGAGGGCCGUUGAUCGGUGCUGACGCAAUGUGAUUUCUGCCCAGUGCUCUGAAUGUCAAAGUGAAGAAAUUCAAAAAAGCGCGGGUAAACGGCGGGAGUAACUAUGACUCUCUUGUCACAGAACCCACCACGCUCGCAUCAAAAGGCAUGACAACAUUUUGAGGUACUUGGCAGGUAGGCUGACUGAGCUUGGAUGGCAGGUGCAGCAAGAAAGACACUUCAAAACAUCACAGGGUACGAAGAUCCCGGAUCUUGUCAUCAUAAAGCGGGAGAAAUCCCAUAUCCUGGAUGUGCAGGUGGUGAGCACGCGAGUUGAAGUUACGGAGGCUCAUCACCACAAAUGCGAUAAAUACAAAAUCCCUGAUCUGCUUUUCCAAGUCUCACCUACGCCUACCGUCUCAAGUGUCACCCUGUCAUAGAGGAACAUCUGGGGCGUGAAUCUGAGGAUCUGGCAGGAGUGUAUAUGACAAGGAAUGACUUCAAUGAGGAUCAAGGUUGCCCUAGCAGGGGGGCUGCGGGCUUUAAAAUGCACCAAAUUCGACAGCGGGUCACGUUCGUCGGGGAGUGGGCUCAGGGCUGAAUCAAGUUCCCAGCACCACAGUGUGUGCGUUCCUUUGUCACUCUGCCUUUCAGAGGAAGUUUUCUUGGAUCCUGAUCUCUCACCAGUAAUUGGGAGAGGAGGAGCCUAUCAGCUAGGACGGCAGGCAACCUCGAAGCUGUAAUCUCAGUGGGUGAUUGGUAUCUGGAAAAAAAAAAAAAAAAAAAAAAAAAAAAUGCAAAUCCGUCAUCUAAUUAGUGACGCGC